GAAUAUUGGGCAAUGGGCGAAAGCCUGACCCAGCAACGCCGCGUGAGGGAAGAAGGUUUUCGGAUUGUAAACCUCUGUCCCAUGGGACGAAAAAAAUGACGGUACCAUGGGAGGAAGCCCCGGCUAACUACGUGCCAGCAGCCGCGGUAAUACGUAGGGGGCGAGCGUUGUCCGGAAUGACUGGGCGUAAAGGGCGCGUAGGCGGCUUUUUAAGUUUGGAGUGAAAGUCCUGCUUUCAAGGUGGGAAUUGCUUUGAAAACUGGAGAGCUUGAGUGCGGAAGAGGUAAGUGGAAUUCCCAGUGUAGCGGUGAAAUGCGUAGAGAUUGGGAGGAACACCAGUGGCGAAGGCGACUUACUGGGCCGUAACUGACGCUGAGGCGCGAAAGCGUGGGGAGCGAACA
This 401-nucleotide ribosomal RNA is filed under the name uncultured bacterium. RNAcentral's name for it is "partial 16S ribosomal RNA". It matches the Rfam family "Bacterial small subunit ribosomal RNA", at positions 359 to 774 of the family's 1533-position model. The record is from RNAcentral.